GACGAACGCUGGCGGCGCGCCUAACACAUGCAAGUCGAGCGAUGAAAUUUUAACCGAUCUCUUCGGAGAGAAGAUAAAAUGGAUUAGCGGCGGACGGGUGAGUAACACGUGAGAAACCUGCCUUUCACAAGGGGAUAGCCUCGGGAAACCGGGAUUAAUACCCUAUGACACAUUUCCUUCGCAUGGAAGAAAUGUUAAAACUCCGGUGGUGAAAGAUGGUCUCGCGCCUGAUUAGCUAGUUGGUGGGGUAACGGCCCACCAAGGCCAUGAUCAGUAACCGGCAGGAGAGGGGGAAAGGUCACAUUGGAACUGAGACACGGUCCAAAAUCCUACGGGAGGCAGCAGUGGGGAAUAUUGCACAAUGGAGGAAACUCUGAUGCAGCGACGCCGCGUGAGAGAUGAAGGCUUUCGAGUCGUAAAGCUCUGUCCUAUGGGAAGAUAAUGACGGUACCAUAGGAGGAAGCCCCGGCUAACUACGUG
Molecule: ribosomal RNA, 480 nt
Filed under: uncultured bacterium
Lineage: Bacteria
Description: partial 16S ribosomal RNA
Rfam family: Bacterial small subunit ribosomal RNA
Source: RNAcentral